This 2156-nucleotide unclassified non-coding RNA is filed under the name Leishmania donovani. RNAcentral describes it as "gene:LdHU3.32.3370(CDS-product:GPI_transamidase_c omponent_Tta1_putative)". The record is from RNAcentral. Lineage: Eukaryota; Euglenozoa; Kinetoplastea; Trypanosomatida; Trypanosomatidae.
AGGAGGUCGAAGGAGGCGACGAGAACAGAGUACAGAAUUGGUGACGUGUAGCCGUUUUUUUGUACGUAAUCUCAUACACUCUCGCCAUUAACGCACACACACAGACACAUACUCCUCCUGCAGCUGAGCUUCUCCACCCUCCCUCUUUCACUUCCGCAUAGGUCGAGCAAGUGGCGCCAUGCCGAGCAGUCUUCCUAGACCGAAGUUCACGGCAGUGGCGGCGCCGUCCGAGACGUGGCGGCGCAACUCUACAAACAGCUUUGCGGCACUCAGCGCAUUUAUAUUUCUUGUCGUCAUCGGUGUACAUUGGACGACGGUGAGCCAUGAGCAUGUAGAGCUACCGAUGGAUCGCGUUCUGGUAGACCUGCAGGCGAGGUGCUCCACUCUGGAAGGCACCCCUGCCUUGACCUCUGCCUCGCUCCCUCCCGCAUUUUACGGGCUGGGUGUUUGGGUGGACUCCCCGGCGUUGCUGCCCAGCGUACAUGCGGCGCUUGCUCUGAUGAAGGAGCGGCUGGCAGACGGCCUGAGCACCGCUGCGGCAGCUGUCCCGCUUCCGACUCACACGCUUUAUACCUUUGUGCGUCUGCAGUCGCAGGUGCGGGAUGAAGUGAUCGCUGCACUCUUCAAGGAAGCACAGAGUGGGCGCUUCCCUAGCGCGAAGCGCGUGUUGCGCAAGCUGGAGCACUUGGCAAACCAACAGCAGCUCGGCUUGCCGACGCUGAAGCAUGCCUUUCUGCCUGAGGUUGGCCAGGAGGCGGAGCUGUUUGGCCUGUCGCUCUUUAGUGUGCCGGCGUCCGCGCUGCCGGGGGAUGCAGCGGGCAAGGUGCAGUGCUUCGUCGCUGACGUGCGGCAAGCGUACUGCAUGCUUCCCGUGGAGGUGCCGGAUGCCUCCGAUGUUGCGUCCUCCGGUAGGACGAGUUUUUCAGCAGCUUCUCUCACACCUUUGUCGUACCGACUGCGGGCCGCUUCACUGGAGGCCGAGGUACGCGCGGCGCUUCUCUCUGUCGUAACACAGCAGAUCGGCUUGGCUUCUUUCAAGCCUGCCGACGUGGCGGCCUGGAAGCGGUCGCGGGAGCAUCAGGGGUGUCUGCACACGAUCGCCUCUGUGACGAGCACGCUGCGCUCCAUUGCGGCAAACACGAACAUGGCCGUCCCACAAAGCACGGAGCGCAUGUUCGCAGUCUUGGAGCGCCACGUGCAAUCCGGCUCCUUCCUGCGAGCCGCGCGUGCCGCCGACGACCUGCAGUUCCACCCAUCGCUCACCCCGCAGCUGUACAUUCCGUGGGACCAUUCGCUCGUCUCGCAGUUGAUUGUGCUGCUGCCGAUGGUGUCCUGCACGCUACUGGCCGCGCGCUCUCUCGUGGAGGAGCGCUGGCACAACCACGCUCGCGCAAAGGCCACCGCCGAGGCACAGGAUGCGAAGAAAGGCCAGUGACAGGACCGUGACUCACUCACAGCUUCGCAGAACAGGAGGCUUUGAACGGAGGAGGAGGAGGCUGUGCGUGCAAGGGGCGCGCGUUUCCCGGGUCGCUACGCGGCGCUGCUGCGCAAUCGCACGGCGACAGCGUGCGCCACGCCGCACCUCUACCUCCGCCACGCGCCUCGUGGAGAGUAGGUAUUUGAUUUCUCAUUCAAACCUUUAGGUGGCAUGCAGUCGACCAGCGCAGCCGCCAUUGGGUGUAGGUGACGCGUGCGCGGGCGUGUGUGUCUGUGCGCGAAAACGAGGCCGCUUAAGCAAAUGAUGUGUAAAGUGCGGAGGGGAAAGUGUACCCGGUGGAGAGGCGAUCGCCCCGCGUGCACAGCCCCUAUCCCUUUUCUUCCCUCACACGCACUUGAGUUUGCGUGUUUAUCUGAUGUGCCGACGCGGGGUGCGGGCGGUCUGCGUCUCCUGAGGAAGACCAAGCCACUUCCGCUUCGUAUUUCUUCGUAUGCAGGGGGAGGGGAGGACAGGAACCGUUGUCUUUGCUUCUCCCCCGCCGGCACGCGCGCGUGCAACCUGUUGAACUGUCUUCGAUAUGGCUCGCGCGCUAUACUUAUUGUAUUCUUUUUUUUUUCGUGUUGCGUAUUUGUGUGUUCGGCCCCGCAUGCGCUGAUGUGACGCCCAUGGCUGCUCGCGGCCACAUCAUUAGCAUGCGUUUUCCAUCCACGAUGACAAC